UUAACAGGAUUAGAUACCCUGGUAGUCCAUGCCGUAAACGUUGGGCACUAGGUGUGGGGCCAGUUCCACUGGUUCUGUGCCGUAGCUAACGCAUUAAGUGCCCCGCCUGGGGAGUACGGCCGCAAGGCUAAAACUCAAAGGAAUUGACGGGGGCCCGCACAAGCGGCGGAGCAUGCGGAUUAAUUCGAUGCAACGCGAAGAACCUUACCAAGGCUUGACAUGUACGAGAAAGCCCCAGAGAUGGGGUUCUCUUUGGACACUCGUACACAGGUGGUGCAUGGUUGUCGUCAGCUCGUGUCGUGAGAUGUUGGGUUAAGUCCCGCAACGAGCGCAACCCUUAUCUUAUGUUGCCAGCGCGUCAUGGCGGGGACUCGUGAGAGACUGCCGGGGUCAACUCGGAGGAAGGUGGGGACGACGUCAAGUCAUCAUGCCCCUUAUGUCCAGGGCUUCACACAUGCUACAAUGGCCGGUACAGAGGGCUGCGAGACCGUGAGGUGGAGCGAAUCCCUUAAAGCCGGUCUCAGUUCGGAUCGGGGUCUGCAACUCGACCCCGUGAAGUUGGAGUCGCUAGUAAUCGCAGAUCAGCAACGCUGCGGUGAAUACGUUCCCGGGCCUUGUACACACCGCCCGUCACGUCAUGAAAGUCGGUAACACCCGAAGCCGGUGGCCUAACCCCUUGUGGGAGGGAGCCGUCGAAGGUGGGAUCGGCGAUUGGGACGAAGUCGUAACAAGGUAACCAA
RNAcentral lists this ribosomal RNA (740 nucleotides) under uncultured Aeromicrobium sp. RNAcentral's name for it is "bacterial SSU rRNA". It matches the Rfam family "Bacterial small subunit ribosomal RNA", at positions 769 to 1503 of the family's 1533-position model. Lineage: Bacteria; Bacillati; Actinomycetota; Actinomycetes; Propionibacteriales; Nocardioidaceae. The record is from RNAcentral.